RNAcentral lists this transfer RNA (77 nucleotides) under Fibrobacter sp. UWH3. RNAcentral's name for it is "tRNA-Met". It matches the Rfam family "tRNA". From Rfam's summary of the family: Transfer RNA (tRNA) molecules are approximately 80 nucleotides in length. RNAcentral also lists the same sequence under 1 other name. Lineage: Bacteria; Pseudomonadati; Fibrobacterota; Fibrobacteria; Fibrobacterales; Fibrobacteraceae. The record is from RNAcentral.
CGCGGGGUAGAGCAGUUGGUAGCUCGUCGGGCUCAUAACCCGGAGGUCGCAGCGUUCAAGUCCUGCCCCCGCUACUA